RNAcentral lists this ribosomal RNA (119 nucleotides) under Pteropus alecto (black flying fox). Lineage: Eukaryota; Metazoa; Chordata; Mammalia; Chiroptera; Pteropodidae. The record is from RNAcentral.
GUCUACAGCCAUGCCACCCUGAACAUGCCCGAUCCCGUCUGAUCUCGGAAGCUAAGCAGGGUCGGGCCUGGUUAGUACUCGGAUGGGAGACCGCCGAGGAAGACCAGCUGUUGUAGGCG